GACGAACGCUGGCGGCGUGCUUAACACAUGCAAGUCGAACGGAAAGGCCCUGCUUUUGUGGGGUGCUCGAGUGGCGAACGGGUGAGUAACACGUGAGUAACCUGCCCUUGACUUUGGGAUAACUUCAGGAAACUGGGGCUAAUACCGGAUAGGAGCUCCUGCUGCAUGGUGGGGGUUGGAAAGUUUCGGCGGUUGGGGAUGGACUCGCGGCUUAUCAGCUUGUUGGUGGGGUAGUGGCUUACCAAGGCUUUGACGGGUAGCCGGCCUGAGAGGGUGACCGGCCACAUUGGGACUGGGAUACGGCCCGGACUCCUACGGGAGGCAGCAGUGGGGAAUAUUGCACAAUGGGCGGAAGCCUGAUGCAGCAACGCCGGGUGCGGGAUGACGGCCUUCGGGUUGUAAACCGCUUUCGCCUGUGACGAAGCGUGAGUGACGGUAAUGGGUAAAGAAGCACCGGCUAACUACGU
RNAcentral lists this ribosomal RNA (467 nucleotides) under uncultured bacterium. Its description in RNAcentral is "partial 16S ribosomal RNA". It matches the Rfam family "Bacterial small subunit ribosomal RNA", at positions 28 to 506 of the family's 1533-position model. The record is from RNAcentral.